CCGACUCAAUGCAACGUUUUAUGCCAUUGGGUUGGGUCGGUUUGUACCAUGAAUUUGCAAGCAUUUUGUAAAAUUUGGAUUGGAUUGGUUUGGAGGUAAAUGACCUCCACACCAACCAAUGAACAGCCCUACUUGUUUCCCAUUGGUGGACUUUCAGCUUGCAAUCGCCUUUGCUUUUCUGUUCCAAAUCUCAUGAUGUAAGUGUUUCUCCAUCUCUGUUGGUCGUUUUUACAGUUUUAAAACCUACUACGCCGAAGCACUGCCCUGGAUAAGUUCCAACUGCCCUGGAUAGGCUCCAACUCCUAAACUGCUAAGCCCUGGUGAUCUGGUUCAAGCCUUCGCCUUUGUUUCAUCCUUCAACGGUUCUAUGUUUCUUUUUUAGGUAACACAUUUGGUUGCUGGAAAUCAUCAACUGCCACUUAAAUUUCUUUCUUCAUCCAUGCCUUAAUCUGUAUUUCAAAUUUUUCCUUCAACAGUUAUCUG
This 483-nucleotide unclassified non-coding RNA is filed under the name Hevea brasiliensis (rubber tree). The record is from RNAcentral. Lineage: Eukaryota; Viridiplantae; Streptophyta; Magnoliopsida; Malpighiales; Euphorbiaceae.